CAACCCUCAAGCCCCCCCGGUGACGGGAACGGGCUUGGUGUUGGGGACCGGCCAACUGGUGCCCUGCUGCUGCCGUAGCAGGCGCCGGGCCGCCCCCGAAAUGAAUUGGCGGCCUCGUCGCGGCCUCCCUCUGCGUAGUAGCACAAAUCUCGCAGCUGGAGCGCGGCGCGGCCACUGCCGUAAAACGCACCAACUUUUUUAA
RNAcentral lists this unclassified non-coding RNA (202 nucleotides) under Metarhizium flavoviride. RNAcentral's name for it is "partial internal transcribed spacer 2". The record is from RNAcentral. Lineage: Eukaryota; Fungi; Ascomycota; Sordariomycetes; Hypocreales; Clavicipitaceae.